GACGAACGCUGGCGGCGUGCUUAACACAUGCAAGUCGAACGGAAAGGCCCUGCUUUUGUGGGGUGCUCGAGUGGCGAACGGGUGAGUAACACGUGAGUAACCUGCCCUUGACUUUGGGAUAACUUCAGGAAACUGGGGCUAUUACCGGAUAGGAGCUCCUGCUGCAUGGUGGGGGUUGGAAAGUUUCGGCGGUUGGGGAUGGACUCGCGGCUUAUCGGCUUGUUGGUGGGGUAGUGGCUUACCAAGGCUUUGACGGGUAGCCGGCCUGAGAGGGUGACCGGCCACAUUGGGACUGAGAUACGGCCCAGACUCCUACGGGAGGCAGCAGUGGGGAAUAUUGCACAAUGGGCGGAAGCCUGAUGCAGCAACGCCGCGUGCGGGAUGACGACCUUCGGGUUGUAAACCGCUUUCGCCUGUGACGAAGCGUGAGUGACGGUAAUGGGUAAAGAAGCACCGGCUAACUACGUG
This 468-nucleotide ribosomal RNA is filed under the name uncultured bacterium. Its description in RNAcentral is "partial 16S ribosomal RNA". It matches the Rfam family "Bacterial small subunit ribosomal RNA", at positions 28 to 507 of the family's 1533-position model. The record is from RNAcentral.